Molecule: Y RNA, 99 nt
Filed under: Propithecus coquereli (Coquerel's sifaka)
Lineage: Eukaryota; Metazoa; Chordata; Mammalia; Primates; Indriidae
Description: Y RNA (ENSPCOG00000003069.1)
Rfam family: Y RNA
About the family: Y RNAs are components of the Ro ribonucleoprotein particle (Ro RNP), in association with Ro60 and La proteins. The Y RNAs and Ro60 and La proteins are well conserved, but the function of the Ro RNP is not known.
Source: Rfam by way of RNAcentral
GGCUAAUCUGAUUGCAAUGGUGUUUACAACUAAUUGAUGACUAGUUACAGAUUUCUUUGUUCCUUCUCUACUCCCACUGCUUCACUUGACUAGCCUUAA